Molecule: ribosomal RNA, 450 nt
Filed under: uncultured bacterium
Lineage: Bacteria
Description: partial 16S ribosomal RNA
Rfam family: Bacterial small subunit ribosomal RNA
Source: RNAcentral
GUGGGGAAUCUUCCGCAAUGGACGAAAGUCUGACGGAGCAACGCCGCGUGAGUGAAGAAGGUUUUCGGAUCGUAAAGCUCUUUCGUUAGGGACGAACGUGCUCUUUGUGAAUAAUGAGGAGUAAUGACGGUACCUAAAUAAGAAGCCACGGCUAACUACGUGCCAGCAGCCGCGGUAAUACGUAGGUGGCAAGCGUUGUCCGGAAUUAUUGGGCGUAAAGCGCGCGCAGGCGGGAUAUCAAGUCUGUCUUAAAAGUGCGAGGCUCAACCUCGUGAGGGGACAGAAACUGGGAUUCUUGAGUGGCGGAGAGGAAAGUGGAAUUCCAAGUGGAGCGGUGAAAUGCGUAGAGAUUUGGAAGAACACCAGUGGCGAAGGCGACUUUCUGGACGAUGUCUGACGCUGAGGCGCGAAAGCUAGGGGAGCGAACGGGAUUAGAAACCCGUGUAGUCC